GGCGUGCGUGAGCUGUCAAAGGCCUCGCUGUUUGCAUGUUUGUGCUUUUUGGGUGUACUUUUUCGUAUGGUAGGCCAACGUCAGUUUCGAUCACCAUAAAAUGAUUGGAGGAAUGUAGCUUCGAUCUCGUAUUGAAGUGUUAUAGCCUUUGGUAGAUGUGGUGAUCGAAACUGAGGAUUGCAACGAAUACCCUUUAGGGCUAUCCGUCUGACCUCUGGAAGUUGCUUGGGUGCCGAAAGCUUGCUUAUGGUAUUUAAGACGACGGUCAAAAGGUUAGAACGUGAUUACA
RNAcentral lists this ribosomal RNA (289 nucleotides) under uncultured Glomeromycotina. Its description in RNAcentral is "partial large subunit ribosomal RNA". Lineage: Eukaryota; Fungi; Glomeromycota. The record is from RNAcentral.